Molecule: ribosomal RNA, 171 nt
Filed under: uncultured bacterium
Lineage: Bacteria
Description: partial 16S ribosomal RNA
Rfam family: Bacterial small subunit ribosomal RNA
Source: RNAcentral
UCCUACGGGAGGCAGCAGUGGGGAAUAUUGCACAAUGGAGGAAACUCUGAUGCAGCGACGCCGCGUGAGUGAAGAAGUAAUUCGUUAUGUAAAGCUCUAUCAGCAGGGAAGAUAGUGACGGUACCUGACUAAGAAGCUCCGGCUAAAUACGUGCCAGCAGCCGCGGUAAUA